RNAcentral lists this ribosomal RNA (484 nucleotides) under uncultured bacterium. RNAcentral describes it as "partial 16S ribosomal RNA". It matches the Rfam family "Bacterial small subunit ribosomal RNA", at positions 30 to 507 of the family's 1533-position model. The record is from RNAcentral.
AUUGAACGCUGGCGGCAGGCCUAACACAUGCAAGUCGAGCGGAUGAAGGGAGCUUGCUCCUGGAUUCAGCGGCGGACGGGUGAGUAAUGCCUAGGAAUCUGCCUGGUGGUGGGGGAUAACGUCCGGAAACGGGCGCUAAUACCGCAUACGUCCUGAGGGAGAAAGUGGGGGAUCUUCGGACCUCACGCUAUCAGAUGAGCCUAGGUCGGAUUAGCUAGUUGGUGGGGUAAAGGCCUACCAAGGCGACGAUCCGUAACUGGUCUGAGAGGAUGAUCAGUCACACUGGAACUGAGACACGGUCCAGACUCCUACGGGAGGCAGCAGUGGGGAAUAUUGGACAAUGGGCGAAAGCCUGAUCCAGCCACGCCGCGUGUGUGAAGAAGGUCUUCGGAUUGUAAAGCACUUUAAGUUGGGAGGAAGGGCAGUAAGUUAAUACCUUGCUGUUUUGACGUUACCAACAGAAUAAGCACCGGCUAACUUCGUG